CUCAUCGCAUCCUGGGGCUGGAGAAGGUCCCAAGGGUCCGGCUGUUCGCCGGUUAAAGCGGUACGCGAGCUGGGUUCAGAACGUCGUGAGACAGUUCGGUCCUUAUCCACUGUGGGCGUAGGAAACUUGAGGGAUUCGUUCCUUAGUACGAGAGGACCGGGAACGACGCACCUCUGGUGUGGCAGUUGUUCCGUCAGGAGCAGCGCUGCGUAGCCAUGUGCGGAAGAGAUAAGCGCUGAAAGCAUCUAAGCGCCAAGCUCCUCCCAAGAUCAGGUUUCCCGGGUCGCAAGACCCAUAAAGACCCCCGGUAGACUACCGGGUUGAUAGGUCAGACGUGUAAGCGCGGUAACGCGUUUAGCGGACUGAUACUAAUAGGUCGUUCGGCUUGAUCUUUUAA
Molecule: ribosomal RNA, 397 nt
Filed under: Limisphaerales bacterium
Lineage: Bacteria; Pseudomonadati; Verrucomicrobiota; Verrucomicrobiia; Limisphaerales
Description: Verrucomicrobia subdivision 3 bacterium (hot springs metagenome) partial 23S ribosomal RNA
Rfam family: Bacterial large subunit ribosomal RNA
Source: RNAcentral